This is a long non-coding RNA of Rhipicephalus microplus (southern cattle tick), 372 nucleotides long. The record is from RefSeq and is a predicted model, not a curated record. NCBI's taxonomy places the organism in Eukaryota, Metazoa, Arthropoda, Arachnida, Ixodida, Ixodidae.
UGCUUGUCGUCCUCGCUCUCGUGGCUACUGCCUCAGCCGGCUACGGCUUUGGCUACGGUGGAUAUGGAGGUUACGGCUUGGGCUAUGGUGGCUACGGAGGUUACGGCUUGGGCUAUGGUGGCUACGGACUUGGAUUUGGCAUUGGCCGCACCUACUACUUCGACAACCAGAGGGCAGCGCCUUACUUCGGAUACGGUGGAUACGGGGGAUAUGGUGGCUUCGGCGGAUACGGUCUCGGAUUUAAGGGAUUCUACGGCUAAUGGAUUCGGCGGCGAAUGCUGAAACAACUGAAAACCCACGUGUGACGGACGACCAUUGACCAGCGAGCUUUGUGUUAUGUGUGACUAUUUCCAAUAAAUGUGCCUCAGCAGC